UUAUAGAAAACGGGGUGCCCUUGGGGGCUGAGAUUAUACCCAUAACCUGAUUUGGAUAAUGCCAACGUAGGGAGAUAUUUUGUUUUGACAG
Molecule: regulatory RNA element, 91 nt
Rfam family: TPP riboswitch aptamer (THI element)
About the family: Vitamin B(1) in its active form thiamin pyrophosphate (TPP) is an essential coenzyme that is synthesised by coupling of pyrimidine and thiazole moieties in bacteria.
Source: Rfam